Molecule: long non-coding RNA, 3828 nt
Organism: Triticum dicoccoides
Lineage: Eukaryota; Viridiplantae; Streptophyta; Magnoliopsida; Poales; Poaceae
Exons: 4
Source: RefSeq, a predicted model, not a curated record
AGCCGUCGCGGGCGAGCGAGGGACGGCGGCAGCCGGAGCGAGGGAGCCCGCGGCGCCGUGACGGGUCGCUCCUCCGACCCACGCGCGGCCGCCGGCCGGCCGUCCGCACGCCUCCCCGCCGAGCCUCCUCUUGUCCCGGACCCCUUGUCCCGGACGAUUCCCGCAACUCGAUCCCACCACCCCGAGCGUGCCGCCGCGUGCCGCCGUCCCCAGCCCACCCGCAGCGCGCCGCCCACGCAGGCGCGCGUCGCUAUUCCCAUCCCUAUCUCCGCGCACCGCCACCCCUAGCCGGACCCGACCCAAUCACAUCGCCAUGGAGUGGUGUCUCCAUCUCCCGACGACGGAGCAGCACCUCCCCGACAGCGCGCCUACCACCGACGAUGAGGAACUCUGCCCCAAGCCUCCUCCCCCCUCCUCACGUCCGGAUGGGCAAGAUCCAGCUGGCGCUGAAGCCUAUCCCACCGGCGCAGCUCCCCGUCGCCAUUGCGCUGCUCCUUCCCCGCGUGUCUCCAGUUCCCCUCGCUGCUCGGAUUGGUGUGCCGUGGUGCCGCCACCCAGGUCAAUUUCAUUCCUUCAGCCCUGCAUCUCCUUGAUGGCUCGUUGGAUCACUUCUACAUAAUCAGUUCUUUGACAUGUGUGUUGCACGGAAGGUGUUUGCAGUAAUGCUUGAGCACAACACCAGCCGUCGCCGCGGUCACUUCGUCCCUGAACUGCCAUGCGCCGCCUGCGGCCUCGCUUCUUCCCCUGUCUUCUGCCCGGGCGAACCCCUUUUUCUCCUCCCAGGCACAGCUGCAACCUCCUUCUCAGUCCAAAUUGAGCGCUGUUUGUCGUACAAGUUGAAUCCCGGCUACAGUCUUCGCCAAAGAAGCCAUCAUCCCUGUUCUGAACUACCAACAGCCUCUGCUAAUGUGCACAAAAUUCAAGUUCAAUAACACAAAAAAUGGAAGGUCAGAUAUGGCACCAAGAUAAGUUAGAAAAAAUGGUUUCAACAUAAUGCAAUUUGGAGGAACGACAGCGCCCAGGCCAUUCACAGCUGCCACCCUAGUCUGUUCACCACCGCCAACCGAGGCCGUUCAAUGACGCUCCGGGCAAAGAAUAUCAAGUAAAUAAGCAACUUCGACAUGCCAAUGGGACCUUUUUAGUAAGUGCUUUGACUACGACUGAUGGUAGUUGGUAUUUUGUGACGUUGCGCUCAGCGGCAGGAGGGCGAGGAUCUCUUCAUCUCGGCAGUACAACUGCACCCUCCGACGCCGUUCACGAGAAGAGCUACGUGCAGGCCACCCGUGCUCCACCCUGGAUUUUUUCAAUAAUCAGGCCAUCGUCGUCAGGGUUCCUGCCCCACGGCAGUCGUAUUGGCUCAUGCACCACUGUCAUCGGUCCUUUUUCGGUUGGAGAUAGGUAGCGCCCCUAGGAAGCCCCUUCUUCAGUGGUUCAUUGGUCUGUCAAGUAUGAAGGUGAGCUUCAUAAUAGAGUAGCUAGACCUAUCUGCCUUCCAUUUUACAAAUUUUGCUGGGAGCUAGAAGUAACUAUAUGUAGAAAGUUGGCAUCUCUGUUUACAUAAACAUGCAUAACACGUGUGAUGCUACAUAAUUCCUGGGUCCUCCUCCUGUUAUGCACAAGCUCCAAUUCGUCGAGAUACUCUAUGGAGGUACUCCAUUUUAUGUUUUCAAUUCAUCUUACAAAAAAGCAGAACAAACUAUGUGUCAUUUUUGUCAUUCACGCAAGUUCAGGCAUACCUUCUGCAAAAGUUCAAAAAUCUGAAGAAACAAAGCUCAAACCAAGUUCAGAAACUGUUUUUGGAUUAAAUUAGUUGUUUUGGUUAAUUAUGUGGUAUAUGUGUGUAUUGUGAUUGUAAUUGUGGCUUGGAGUUGAGAAAAAGAUAACAAAAAGGUACAUAAAUGAACCCAAAAACAUUCGGUAGUUUCUGGAAGCCCAAAGUUGUUCAACAUGUUUUCUACCAUCAGCUCGUUAAGAACCCCAGAAACGGUUCAAUGUGUGUGUUAAAAAAAAUAGCUGGCUAUAUAAAAAAAAUUAGUAGCUAGGCAAAAAGAAGUUUGUAUCAGUUCAGACUUGCCUGCACAGAAGGAUAGAGGCCCUUGUCCCAUACGUUCAGGUUUGCAUCAAUGCUCCAGCCAACUCCAUUAUCUACUCAGUAAAUGCUCCACUGCUAAAUCCAUUUGAAGUUUUGUCAGGUUUGGUAACUCCUCUCCCUUUCCCUUUUCAUGUAAUGCAUUUAGGACAAGUUCAAGUAUAGGUAAAGAAGAUUCUCACCACAUAAAUAUUGAUCUAGAGCUCUUCAGUUUGACAGUUUUUCAGUUCGUGUGGAGCUUGUCAGUUCGACAAUUUUUCAUUUUGUGUGGAGCUAGUCAUUGUUUUAGGUUGCGUCUGGCUGUACCAAAUGCUUGCACUUCUCUGAACUGAGAGUACGCUUGAGUUUCCUGUUCCUUCUAAUCUUAAUAGGUUAUCUUGAUAGGAGUCUAGUGUUAUUUACUAAAUUCUAGUCAGAGUAGUGUAAUCAAAGGAAUGUAGAUAACUUGUGUCCAGGUAUGACUUGUACAAUUGCGUUGUUGUGCUACACACUUGUACUCACAUAUUAUUAUGCUGCGAUACUAGUUCUGAACAUUUUGUUAUGUAUGUCACAUGAAGGUUUCUCCCCAUUCUUCUCGUCUUCAUACUAUGCCUUUCAUACCUUUUUAUAUAAAAAAGCUCAGUCUGAAACUACAGAUUUGCCCAGAGCCUUGACCUAGGACAUUCUGAAUAAAACUUCAAAGAAGUCUGAAAUGCACUUUAGUAUAUAAAGCCUUGUUCAUCAUUGUAUUCUGAUACUAGAAUCUAGAGUAAGAAAUCAAGUUUGUAAUAUGUAGGCACAAGAACAUGACUCCCUACUUGAAAUGAGUACUCUUUUGUUUCAGCUAAUACUUCUUACUCUGAAUUCCAAAAGUGGAUGCACUUAAGUACAACUUAGUAGACUACUAGUUGUACAUCAGUAUGUAAGGACGAUGUAAUUACCACAACCUCAAUGAUUAUAGUAUUUGGGAUGCUCAUCAUUUUUCACAUCCAUCUCUACUGAAUUAUGUUAGUCUUUUUCAGUUCAUCUUUGAAAUUUCGGUCCAUUUUCUUUUUGCAGGAUGCGUCAAAUACUAAAAUAAAAGGCAGCAGCUCAAAUAGAUGAAUAUUGGAAGUCCAUUGCUAUCUUGAGGUCCACAUAGCCGGCAUUUUCAGUUCAUCUUGCAAGUGAUGGGGCUCCCCUUCAGUUCAUCCUGCAGGUGUUUUGGGCAGUACAAAAUACAUCACCAUAGUUAGUACAUCAAGGAUGGCUUGGUAGUCGCUGGGAUUCCCUGCAGUGGCCAAAUCGCCUCCAUCAGCUCCACCUCGCCGUAGCAAUCAGUCCAGAGGAGGAGGUGUAGCUGGUCCACCCGGUCCACCCAAUUUUUCUUUCAACAUUUUCUUUGUGAUGCAUGCUCACUGAUGGAUCAAUAACUAUUUAUUGAUAUGGAGAUGGCCCCCUGUUUUUUUCUGGAAAAACAAGAUGCCUUUGCAUACUUCAAAGUUGCUGCUUGCUCCCACCAGUCAAUUGCAAGUUCAGUGGGUGUCGUCGAGCAUGUUCAGAAGUAUGCCCUUUGUGCAAAAGUGUGAAUUUUUUUUCAGUAUUUUGUAUAUUUCAUUUGGCAGAGGCUUCAUGUGAUCUUGUAGAGCUUUAUAGAUGUACUGUCAUUACACUUUUAAGGCCCUAUAGUUCAUUAUAUCAUACAUGUGUGGCCAUUCAGUAUGUAUUACAGGAUCAGUUCUUGAAAAAUAAGAACACAUACAUAGUUCGGUCAAAAAGAA